GAACGCUGGCGGCAGGCUUAACACAUGCAAGUCGAGCGGUAGCACAGGGGAGCUUGCUCCCUGGGUGACGAGCGGCGGACGGGUGAGUAAUGUCUGGGAAACUGCCUGAUGGAGGGGGAUAACUACUGGAAACGGUAGCUAAUACCGCAUAACGUCGCAAGACCAAAGAGGGGGAUCUUCGGGCCUCUUGCCAUCAGAUGUGCCCAGAUGGGAUUAGCUAGUAGGUGGGGUAAUGGCUCACCUAGGCGACGAUCCCUAGCUGGUCUGAGAGGAUGACCAGCCACACUGGAACUGAGACACGGUCCAGACUCCUACGGGAGGCAGCAGUGGGGAAUAUUGCACAAUGGGCGCAAGCCUGAUGCAGCCAUGCCGCGUGUGUGAAGAAGGCCUUCGGGUUGUAAAGCACUUUCAGCGAGGAGGAAGGUGGUGAGCUUAAUACGCUCAUCAAUUGACGUUACUCGCAGAAGAAGCACCGGCUAACUCCGUGCCAGCAGCCGCGGUAAUACGGA
Molecule: ribosomal RNA, 509 nt
Filed under: uncultured Enterobacterales bacterium
Lineage: Bacteria; Pseudomonadati; Pseudomonadota; Gammaproteobacteria; Enterobacterales
Description: bacterial SSU rRNA
Rfam family: Bacterial small subunit ribosomal RNA
Source: RNAcentral